RNAcentral lists this small nuclear RNA (108 nucleotides) under Mustela putorius furo (domestic ferret). The record is from RNAcentral. Lineage: Eukaryota; Metazoa; Chordata; Mammalia; Carnivora; Mustelidae.
AUGCUUGCUUCAGCAGCACAUACACUAAAAUUGAAAUGAUACAGAGAAGAUAAGCAUGGCCUCUAUGCAAGGAUGACAUGCAAAUUCAAGUACAUAUUUCACUUGUAU